RNAcentral lists this long non-coding RNA (383 nucleotides) under Amphimedon queenslandica. RNAcentral's name for it is "uncharacterized LOC109581513, transcript variant X1". Lineage: Eukaryota; Metazoa; Porifera; Demospongiae; Haplosclerida; Niphatidae. The record is from RNAcentral.
UUUCAAUUUAAUUUUGCUUCAAUUGCUUGGUGUGCUCUCACAAUGCUGAAGUGAACAGACAGCUUGAAGUGGCUAGUAUCAUUCUAGAGCUACCCAUUAUAUUUAAUAGACAGCUUGUGAAGACUGGGGACAAGUGCAAAGAUGGCUGAUUAGAGAACCUCAGUGUGGACAGGGCUGGAUUAACAAAAAGAAACUGAGAAUAAUUUGUGGUAUGUAGCUCUUCUAAUACCAACAAUCAUAUUCUAUUUAAUUGCACUGGUUGGAAUCAUUCUAUUAUUUGUUUUCUUUGUCAGACCUGGUGGAUGUGGUUUGAAUAUAUUCUUCUUGUGCUCUAUAUUUAUUCUGAGUGUUGCGGUAUCUAUUAUUGCUAUAUUGCCUCCAGU